This is an RNA transcript of Daktulosphaira vitifoliae (grape phylloxera), 1411 nucleotides long. RefSeq lists it as uncharacterized. Lineage: Eukaryota; Metazoa; Arthropoda; Insecta; Hemiptera; Phylloxeridae. The transcript has 3 exons. The record is from RefSeq and is a predicted model, not a curated record.
UUUAUUAUCAGAAAGUUAUUUCUAAGGUUAAAUUUUAGGAGUAACUUACAAAAGGUUAAUAGAAUCUAUUAUUUUUUUACUAUUAAUUGGAGAAUUUUGAUUGGUCUAUAACGAUUUUUGUAUCAUUACUUUUAGAGUUAAUAGUAUUUGAAGAAUUAGAAAAGGCGAGAGGAGGGUGUAGUGUUAAGUGACGCUCUAUUUUUAUCAUAAAGCACCUUUGUAAUUCAUUUAUAUGCAAAAUCCAGAUAUUACUAAGACAUAUUCUUAAAGUUAAAAAAAACACGGAGGCCAAAAAAAUCUUUUAACUAUUUCAAGAUAAAAAUACCUCCAUUGUAUUAAGUAAAAAAUUGUUGGCAAUUUUUAGUGAUUUCUGUUUUAAAAUUCAAAAUGAAUGAGUAUAAAUUAUGGCAUCCAAAGAAAGUAUAUGUAAACACUGAAUAAAUGUAAAAGUCAUAUCAAGUUAAAACUUAGCAGAACACUUUAUAAUCUGUAUAUUGUCACCUUAAGCCAAGGCUCAUACUUUAUGUUAUGACGUUAGAAAAUGAACGACAAGAUCUAGUUGAUAAUAUUGUUAAGAACACAAAUUGGAAGUUUUUUGAUGAUGUCGAAAUAAAGGAAAACGGAAAUCUAUAUAUGUUAUAUCAAUUUAAACAUCUAGACGAGUUACAAAGAUUAAAACUUACACCAAAAUAUAUUAAUCAUUUUUUAUCGUGCAAGUAUGCAUAUAUAUUGCUUUCUUAUACAACUUUAAUGAGCUACUUUUUUAAAGCAUGCAGUGAUGAAAGGUUUAAUAAAAUAUUCAUUCCUUAUUGUAUUUCAAAACUAUAUGAGCGAACGACGAAUAAUUUUACCAGCACAUAUUUUAUAUAUAAAGUAUUAAUAUUUUUAAACACUUUAGACGAAUCUAAUUCAUCAUUCUUAAUUUUACCAUUGAAAAAAUUCUAUUCUAUCUCAAAGUCCAAACAAUUGAAGAAACAGUUUUUAGAAAUUAAACAAAAAUCAUAUCUUAUAAAAUCUGGUACAGAACUUGAUUUUGGCCAAAUUUUUUUACCAUUUAGUACAUUAAAUAAUGAUUUGGAUUAUGUUUUUAAACAAUUCUGUAGCAAAAUUCAAAACCCGCUAAUACCGAAAUAUCAGAAUAUGAUAGAUGAAUAUAAAAUAAUUGUGGAACCUAUGUUAUUUUACAAGUAUUUUGAUAAAAAAAUUCAAGAUUUCCUUAUUGAUAGUCAACGUAAUUAUUGUCAAAAUCAAGCAUUUCCAGAUGAUGACUUUAUUGAAAGUUUAAUAGAUGAUGAAACUUUGUCUUUACAGUAAAUAUAUAUAAAAAUAACUAUUAAUAGAUCUCUCAUUAAUUCAUUGCGUUAUAUUUAUUUUGUUUGUUAAUGCACUAUAAAAAAACAAAAGCAACAUC